CACAUGCAAGUCGAGGGGUAGCAGGGUAGCAAUACCGCUGACGACCGGCGCACGGGUGAGUAACACGUAUCCAACCUACCGUUUACUCGGAGAUAGGCUUUCGAAAAAAAGAUUAAUAUCCGAUGGUAUAAAGAAUUCGCAUGUUUUCUUUAUUAAAGAAUUUCGAUAAACGAUGAGGAUGCGUUCCAUUAGAUAGUUGGUGAGGUAACGGCUCACCAAGUCUUCGAUGGAUAGGGGUUCUGAGAGGAAGGUCCCCCACAUUGGAACUGAGACACGGUCCAAACUCCUACGGGAGGCAGCAGUGAAAAAUAUUGGUCAAUGGGCGUAAGCCUGAACCAGCCAAGUAGCGUGAAGGAUGACUGCCCUAUGGGUUGUAAACUUCUUUUAUAAGGGAAUAAAGUGGAGAACGUGUUCUCCUUUGUAUGUACCUUACGAAUAAAAAUCGGCUAACUCCGUGCCAGCAGCCGCGGUAAUACGAAGGAUCCAAGCGUUAUCCGAAUUUAUUGGGUUUAAAGGGUGCGUAGGCGGAAAGAUAAGUCAAUUGUAAAAGUUUGAGGCUCAACCUUAAAAUUGCAGUUGAUACUGUUUUUCUUGAGUGUACGAGAGGUGGGCGGAAUUCGUGGUGUAGCGGUGAAAUGCUUAGA
RNAcentral lists this ribosomal RNA (644 nucleotides) under uncultured Bacteroidota bacterium. RNAcentral's name for it is "bacterial SSU rRNA". It matches the Rfam family "Bacterial small subunit ribosomal RNA", at positions 52 to 694 of the family's 1533-position model. Lineage: Bacteria; Pseudomonadati; Bacteroidota. The record is from RNAcentral.